This 253-nucleotide ribosomal RNA is filed under the name uncultured bacterium. Its description in RNAcentral is "partial 16S ribosomal RNA". It matches the Rfam family "Bacterial small subunit ribosomal RNA", at positions 524 to 776 of the family's 1533-position model. The record is from RNAcentral.
UACAGAGGAUGCAAGCGUUAUCCGGAAUGAUUGGGCGUAAAGCGUCCGCAGGUGGUUUUGUAAGUCUGCUGUUAAGGCGUUAGGCUCAACCUAAUAAGGGCAGUGGAAACUAUGAGACUAGAGUAUGUUAGGGGUAGAGGGAAUUCCCAGUGUAGCGGUGAAAUGCGUAGAGAUUGGGAAGAACACCGGUGGCGAAAGCGCUCUGCUAGGACAAUACUGACACUGAGGGACGAAAGCUAGGGGAGCGAAUGGG